RNAcentral lists this ribosomal RNA (530 nucleotides) under Xenentodon cancila (freshwater garfish). Its description in RNAcentral is "partial large subunit ribosomal RNA". It matches the Rfam family "Bacterial large subunit ribosomal RNA", at positions 1962 to 2625 of the family's 2925-position model. Lineage: Eukaryota; Metazoa; Chordata; Actinopteri; Beloniformes; Belonidae. The record is from RNAcentral.
CAAUCACUUGUCUUUGAGAUGAAGACGGGUCCGAGGGGUAUAAAAAGGGCUUAACUGUCUCCUUUUUCCAGGCAAUGCCCUUGAUCUCCCCGUGCAGAAGCGGGGAUAAUUACAUAAGACGAGAAGACCCUAUGGAGCUUUAGAUAAGAGAUGGACCAUGUUAAUAAAUCUAUUUAAUAAGAACAAACUUAUUGGUCACCAUUUUAAUAUCUUUGGUUGGGGCGACCGCGGGGUAAUAAUUAACCCCCAAGUGGAAAAAGAGAACCUCUCUCAUAACCUAGACUGACAAAUCCAAGUAUCAGAAAAUCUGACCAAAAAUGACCCGGCAAAGCCGAUCAACGAACCGAGUUACCCUAGGGAUAACAGCGCAAUCCUCUCCUAGAGCCCAUAUCGACAAGAGGGUUUACGACCUCGAUGUUGGAUCAGGACAUCCUAAUGGUGCAGCCGCUAUUAAGGGUUCGUUUGUUCAACGAUUAAAGUCCUACGUGAUCUGAGUUCAGACCGGAAUCACCUGUUUAUCACACACAUAU